GUUUUUUUUUUCGCCAAUUAUUCACAUUCCGAUUUGAAAUUGCGUUUACGAUUUCAACUUCAGCACAAGACUGUGGAAGAACAUUGGUCGUGUGGUCCAAAAAAAAUUAAAACAAUCGCUGAUUUCACAAAACAAUAGCAACAAAAGCUGAGAAUGAGCUGAGAGAUGGAGAAAAAAUGUGGAGGCCCCUCCCCUACUUCGAAUCGAGCGAGAAUUUGAGAAGAAAAAAAAAACCAUUAGUUCCGUCUUUUGUUUUCGAAACAGAGAGAAAGGGAGAGAGAGAGAGAAAAUAGACAGACACCAGGCAACAGCAACAGCAACAGCAGCAGCAUAAUAACAAAUUUGAAAUUUUCAUAUUGAAAUUUGC
Long non-coding RNA from Sitodiplosis mosellana (orange wheat blossom midge), 367 nucleotides. RefSeq lists it as uncharacterized. Lineage: Eukaryota; Metazoa; Arthropoda; Insecta; Diptera; Cecidomyiidae. The transcript is spliced from 3 exons. The record is from RefSeq and is a predicted model, not a curated record.